This 1010-nucleotide ribosomal RNA is filed under the name Candidatus Solibacter usitatus. RNAcentral describes it as "bacterial SSU rRNA". It matches the Rfam family "Bacterial small subunit ribosomal RNA", at positions 363 to 1390 of the family's 1533-position model. The record is from RNAcentral. Lineage: Bacteria; Pseudomonadati; Acidobacteriota; Terriglobia; Bryobacterales; Solibacteraceae.
CUUGCACAAUGGGGGCAACCCUGAUGCAGCGACGCCGCGUGAGCGAUGAAGCCCUUCGGGGUGUAAAGCUCUUUCGUCAGGGACGAUAAUGACGGUACCUGGAGAAGCAGCUGCGGCUAACUACGUGCCAGCAGCCGCGGUAAUACGUAGGCAGCGAGCGUUGUUCGGAGUUACUGGGCGUAAAGGGUGUGUAGGCGGUUUUCUAAGUUUGGUGUGAAAUCUCCCGGCUCAACCGGGAGGGUGCGCCGAAAACUGGGAGACUAGAGUGCGGGAUGGGAGAGUAGAAUUCCUGGUGUAGCGGUGAAAUGCGUAGAUAUCAGGAGGAAUACCGGUGGUGUAGACGGCUCUCUGGACCGCCACUGACGCUGAGACACGAAAGCGUGGGUAGCAAACAGGAUUAGAUACCCUGGUAGUCCACGCCCUAAACGAUGCAUAUUUGGUGUAGGUCAUUCAGUUGAUCUGUGCCGGAGCUAACGCGUUAAAUAUGCCGCCUGGGGAGUACAGUCGCAAGGCUGAAACUCAAAGGAAUUGACGGGGGCCCGCACAAGCGGUGGAGCAUGUGGUUCAAUUCGACGCAACGCGAAGGACCUUACCUGGGCUCGAACGGCUGGUUAACGGCAUUGGAAACAGUGCUACUCCGCAAGGAGGUCCAGUCGAGGUGCUGCAUGGCUGUCGUCAGCUCGUGUCGUGAGAUGUUGGGUUAAGUCCCGCAACGAGCGCAACCCUUGUCCUGUGUUGCCAUCCCGCAAGGGGGGACUCGCAGGAGACCGCCAGCGAUAAGCUGGAGGAAGGUGGGGAUGACGUCAAGUCCUCAUGGCCCUUACGGCCAGGGCUACACACGUGCUACAAUGGCCGGUACAAAGGGUUGCCAACCCGCGAGGGGGAGCCAAUCCCAUAAAGCCGGUCGUAGUCCGGAUCGCAGUCUGCAACUCGACUGCGUGAAGUCGGAAUCGCUAGUAAUCGCGAAUCAGCCAUGUCGCGGUGAAUACGUUCCCGGGCCUUGUACACAC